UAUGACGGGAGUUAUUAUUAUUGGUACCACAAAGAGUUUGGUCCCGGCACAGUGCUCAGAGUUACAGAUAAAAGUCCUGAUGAAGACACUUCCCCCAAGCCCACAAUUUUUCUUCCUUCAGAGGAUGAAAGAAAACUCCAUAAGACUGGAACAUAUCUUUGUCUUCUUGAGGACUUUUUCUCUGAUGUUAUCAAUAUAGAUUGGAAAGAAAAGAAUGGCAAAACAGUUCUGAAAUCACAGCAGGGAGACACCAUGAAGAUGAAGGACACAUACAUGAAAUACACCUGGCUGACCGUGAGUGAAGAGUCAAUGGAUAAAGAACACCAAUGUAUCGUCACACACGAGAAGAAUAAAGGAGGGGUUGACCAAGAGAUUCUUUUUCCUUCAACAGGCAAAGCAGAUUUGGUGACAGAAUCCAAAGCGGGCUUCCAGACAGAAUCAGAGAGAAGUACAAACACAAGGACCGUAACCCCGAGCCCUUUGAGUACACUGUCUUCUUCACCGUUUUCAAGUGCUGCAGACCCUACCAGAAGGAAGACAACUGAAAACAGUUAUUCCACUGGGACACAGGAUGCCAGCUCUCCAGUGACAGACACCACUCCCUCUCCAGAAACCCUGAGGCUGCAGGCCAUGAACACCUCUGCCUACUACACCUACAUCCUCCUCCUGCUCAAGAGUGUCAUCUACUCCAUCAUUAUCACCUAUUUUCUGCUGGGAAGACCAGCACUCUGUGACUUGAAGGGUUUCGCACCAUGGGUCCACUUUUCUUCAUUGGCUAUUGUCACUAAAAGAUCUACUGAGGAUAUAGAAAACCUUCCUUUCUGAGUGGGUUAUUUCGGUUCAUGUGUGUCUUAUUCCAUUGUGUCAUUGCAAAAUGGGUUUACAAACCACUGGGCAAACAGAAAAUGUCACUCUGCACCAAGAACAAAUUCUGUCAUGACUUUGGGGCGGGGUGGGUGGAGGUAUCCAUGGGGGGUCCGCGCCGCUCUCUCCUUACUGUCUAUCUGCUUCUCAGCCACCCAACACCCUGGCCUCUGAGCACAGCCAGCUUGCAGCUUCCCUAGCAUCCCUUGGGGCUCUUUAUCCAGAUAACUGCCUGGAGCCCUUUGUUUUAUACACCUGCAGGCCAUCCUCCUUGCUACCUGAAUUUUGUGCUGUUUUUCAUAAU
Molecule: non-coding RNA, 1168 nt
Organism: Suricata suricatta (meerkat)
Lineage: Eukaryota; Metazoa; Chordata; Mammalia; Carnivora; Herpestidae
Source: the annotation of a RefSeq genome assembly